AGUGAACGCUGGCGGUAGGCCUAACACAUGCCAGUCGAACGGCAGCACAGUAAGAGCUUGCUCUUACGGGUGGCGAGUGGCGGACGGGUGAGGAAUACAUCGGAAUCUACUUUUUCGUGGGGGAUAACGUAGGGAAACUUACGCUAAUACCGCAUACGACCUACGGGUGAAAGCAGGGGAUCUUCGGACCUUGCGCGAUUGAAUGAGCCGAUGUCGGAUUAGCUAGUUGGCGGGGUAAAGGCCCACCAAGGCGACGAUCCGUAGCUGGUCUGAGAGGAUGAUCAGCCACACUGGAACUGAGACACGGUCCAGACUCCUACGGGAGGCAGCAAUGGGGAAUAUUGGACAAUGGGCGCAAGCCUGAUCCAGCCAUACCGCGUGGGUGAAGAAGGCCUUCGGGUUGUAAAGCCCUUUUGUUGGGAAAGAAAAGCAGCAGGUUAAUACCCCGCUGUUCUGACGGUACCCAAAGAAUAAGCACCGGCUAACUUCGUG
This 492-nucleotide ribosomal RNA is filed under the name uncultured bacterium. Its description in RNAcentral is "partial 16S ribosomal RNA". It matches the Rfam family "Bacterial small subunit ribosomal RNA", at positions 29 to 507 of the family's 1533-position model. The record is from RNAcentral.